UACAGGGGGGGGCAAGCGUUGUUCGGAAUUACUGGGCGUAAAGGGUCUGUAGGUGGCCAACUAAGUCAGACGUGAAAUCCCUCAGCUUAACUGGGGAACUGCGUCUGAUACUGGAUGGCUCGAGUGUGGGAGAGGAAUGCGGAAUUCCAGGUGUAGCGGUGAAAUGCGUAGAUAUCUGGAGGAACACCGGUGGCGAAGGCGGCAUUCUGGACCAUAACUGACACUGAGAGACGAAAGCCAGGGGAGCAAACGGG
This 254-nucleotide ribosomal RNA is filed under the name uncultured bacterium. RNAcentral's name for it is "partial 16S ribosomal RNA". It matches the Rfam family "Bacterial small subunit ribosomal RNA", at positions 524 to 776 of the family's 1533-position model. The record is from RNAcentral.